AAUAGAUACCCGGGUAGUCCACGCCGUAAACGAUGUCGACUUGGAGGUUGUUCCCUUGAGGAGUGGCUUCCGGAGCUAACGCGUUAAGUCGACCGCCUGGGGAGUACGGCCGCAAGGUUAAAACUCAAAUGAAUUGACGGGGGCCCGCACAAGCGGUAGAGCAUGUGGUUUAAUUCGAUGCAACGCGAAGAACCUUACCUACUCUUGACAUCCACGGAACUUUUCAGAGAUGAAUUGGUGCCUUCGGGAACCGUGAGACAGGUGCUGCAUGGCUGUCGUCAGCUCGUGUUGUGAAAUGUUGGGUUAAGUCCCGCAACGAGCGCAACCCUUAUCCUUUGUUGCCAGCGAUUAGGCCGGGAACUCAAAGGAGACUGCCAGUGAUAAACUGGAGGAAGGUGGGGAUGACGUCAAGUCAUCAUGGCCCUUACGAGUAGGGCUACACACGUGCUACAAUGGCGCAUACAAAAGAGAAGCGACCUCGCGAAGAGCAAGCGGACCUCAUAAAGUGCGUCGUAGUCCGGAUUGGAUCUGC
RNAcentral lists this ribosomal RNA (532 nucleotides) under uncultured bacterium. Its description in RNAcentral is "bacterial SSU rRNA". It matches the Rfam family "Bacterial small subunit ribosomal RNA", at positions 777 to 1308 of the family's 1533-position model. The record is from RNAcentral.